AAGACGGGGGAAACUGCAGCUUGUCCUUUUCUCCUCAAAAGCCCAUUUCAAAGUCCACAUUCGAUUGCGGGAUUACGCUUAAGAGAAUCAUAGAAGAUAAGGAGCCACAAAGGUUCACUCUGUUUUCAAAGGUGCAGUCAAAAUGUUACACUUCUAAACUGUGGCAACGAGACACACCCUGAAGAAAGAGAGCGUUACACCUUCACAAGAAAACAGAGAAACCAAGAUACCUUGUGAUGUCUUGUACAUACCAAGAAAAAUAUGUCCUAACCUUGAAAGCCCAUUUUGGGUGUGAGUGGAACCACAUCAUUACAAAACCAAAAAGCUGUAUCUUUCUCAUCCACUAUACCCCUUCUUUUCCAAAUGGACACCUGAGACUUUGAGCUACUUCAUACAACAGAGUUUCACACUGGGACCUCCCACGUCUACCUGCAUUUCAGGCCCGAAUCUUUCCUGGCAUCAGAUUUAUCAUCAAGAACCUUUCUGUGGUUCAUUUCUUGGGGCACAAUUCUCUCGUGAUGGGGACUAAUCCCGUCAAAUCAUCCAUUUUUGUUAACAUUAAUUGUGAUAUCCAUUCCAGGUAUCUGCUUUGUGUAUAAAAAGGAAAUUUCUGAAGAUACAGCUUUAUGUGAAAAGGAGUGAUUUUAGUUGCAGAGGUUUCAUACAUAAUGGGAGGCUGGUGAAAAAGAUUAUUCCUUGCUGAAAAACUCUGGAAAAAUCAUGCCAUACAGAAAGCUGUCCACAUGGCCUAUGCAUGGAUUCAGUGCUGUGGGGGAAGGACAUACUCUUUACACUUUUACAACUUCCUGAUGUGAGUGGUUCACUCACAGGAAAAGGGGCAAUGCCUUUGUACUGACACUUUCACCCCAAGUUUCCAGCCUGUGGAGUGGAAGGACAAUUUUUCAUCUAUCAGGCCAGGCCCUUGAUGCAGGAGAAGGUGGCAGUGAAGGAUCUGGAAGGGGCGUCUUUCUGUGUCUCAGCUGUUUCCUGGAAGUUUGCUCCUGGGCACCUCCACCUUUUCUUCACCUCUACCUUCCUUCAUUAGGAGAAACCAGAAUGGUCCCCGACUUCCCAGAGCAGGUCCCCAGCAAGGAGCAAAGAAACAAAAUACAAAGUAAAUAAACACUGGGACAAGAGGGCAUGCAGAGUAAUGAUAAUGUUGUGAACAUGAAAAGCACUGUGGCCUCACUCCACAUCUGAUAUGUUCGGAUAUUUUAUCCCCUCCAUUCGCAUGCUGAGAUGUGAUCCUCAUGUUGGAGGUGGGCCUGGUGGGAGGUGUUGGGGUCGUGGAGGUGGAUCCCUCAUGAAUGACUCGGUGCCCCCUCAUGG
Molecule: long non-coding RNA, 1329 nt
Filed under: Homo sapiens (human)
Lineage: Eukaryota; Metazoa; Chordata; Mammalia; Primates; Hominidae
Description: HSALNT0365725
Source: RNAcentral